CCUUAACACUUAGCAAAAAAUGCUGGCCAAGGAAACAUAGAUUAGGUUGAAUCAAGGCCCUGAUUUUGAGAUGUUUUAUUCAGGUGAUCCAAUGGAAGGUUAAAUUCAUCUCAUCUCCUCAGAGUUUUCAUAGCAGAUCCAUGUGCACUGUAUCACCUUUUAUAAGUAUGUGAUGUGGCCACAGUCCAGCCCUCAUUAGCUAAAGUUUGGUCUUGUAUCCCAUACCUUCCCUAUGACAUGGUCAGUCUCCAUUGGUCUCUGAUUCCUGUAUCUCAGAGUCUGUGGCUGUAAAGGUAGUGAGAUGAUUGUGCAUGUUCUCAGGACUGUGACAUUUGGCUCAAUGCUAGGAAGACCUCAGCAAACACUUCUUAAUGGUUUGUGAAGGUAGAAGGGUGGGACAACCCUCAUUUACCUUUACCACCUUCACAAGGCUGAUUUUUAAACUUCUUCCUUUUGAGGCUGCCUUCCAUCUUCCUUUGUACUUUAUUUUCUUGGAUUUGGCAUAUUGGAAGCAGGGGGUGGGGCAAAGGUUCUGAAUGUUAUUUACCAUCUUCUGCCCCAGGGCGCAUCUCCCACAGAAAAAUAUCAACCAGCCUGGAGGAAGGAGAUCAGUGCAAGACUCUUGAGAGCUUUGCCACACAAUGCCCAUUCACUAAGAUGGUAUCAACACAUCCAUCCUAAUAAACACUGGUCGUUCUAGGUCCAGGCUAUGUGGGAGUGACCGUGGCUUGCAAGAUGACGCCAACAUUUUCUGAGGGGCCUAACCUGCCAUUAGGUGACUCAGUGCAUUUCCUACCACAUCAGCCAGGAGGCAGGGACAAAAGCUGUAGCCUUUAUUUUUUCCUCUUGGGGUGGGACUGUUCUGCCUUGGCACCAGGACUGCAGGAAAGCCUUCAUUAAUCACCUCCCUGCCUGGUGAUCUCAUCAGCCAGAGCAG
RNAcentral lists this long non-coding RNA (937 nucleotides) under Marmota monax (woodchuck). The record is from RNAcentral. Lineage: Eukaryota; Metazoa; Chordata; Mammalia; Rodentia; Sciuridae.